CAUGUCACCGAAAGUGUGAAAUUCCAGGCAGAUGCAUUCAUAGUCUGCCUGAAGCGUCGAAUAUAAACUAAAGUGCGAACUGGCAGACCGAUGAAUUUCUAUUCUACAUGACCCAGGUGGAAUAAGAAAAUUUAAAAUUUUCAAGUACACAUGACAGAGCCAAUCUUGUAGAAACGCAAACAUAUGUUGAUAUGGAUAUGGCUUUAUGGAAGCUGCUAAUUCUGGCCCGAAAUGUCAACACAAGUCGACCAUAAUUCAAACCCUCUCAAAUAAUCACUAUACCCAAAUAAGGGAAUAUAAACCUUAAAUCCAAAUAUAAACCAUAAACCCAAAUAGAAUGGAACAAAAUAAAUAAUAGAAUACAUAUUGGUCAAAUUAUGAAAUGUCUAUUAUUGCAUGGAAGAAGUUAAUGUCGACCCCAACUAUAUCUCCUCACCUUCUAAAAACUAAACCAUAAAUUAUAGUCACAAAACUCCAACCCAAAUAUAAAUCCUAAACUCAAAUAUCAAAAUCUAAAAAGUAAAUAAGAUUAGUAAUAUUAAAUUGUAUUAUGUAACAUGCUCUAUUCUAUAUAAUUAAAAUAAAAACACAUGAUAUAUGAUAGUUCAGAAAUGUUCUAUUCCAUAUCACCAAAAUAGUAUAUAACACCAACCUCGUACAACCCCCUCAAUAAUUAACCAUAUAACAACUCCACCAUAAAUCCCUAAAUACUUAACCUUAAACCAUAAUCACUAAACCCUAAACUAAGAUAUAAACCUUCAAACUAAAUAGAAUGAAACUAAAUAAAUAACAUAGUACAUACUGGUGAAAUUAUGAAAUGUCUAUGAUAACAUGGAAGAAGUUAAUUCUAACCUCAACCUUACCCCCCACCGACAAAAUGCUAUACCCUAAACCUUAAUCACUAAACCCUAAACCCAAAUAUAAACCAUAAACCCCAAAUAUUAAAAGUAUGUAAAGUAAUUAAUUUUCCUUAAAUCAUAAACCUAACCCCCAAUCUCACUCACCCU
RNAcentral lists this long non-coding RNA (1007 nucleotides) under Brassica napus (rape). Its description in RNAcentral is "long non-coding RNA (BNAP_LNC024459)". The record is from RNAcentral. Lineage: Eukaryota; Viridiplantae; Streptophyta; Magnoliopsida; Brassicales; Brassicaceae.